RNAcentral lists this ribosomal RNA (253 nucleotides) under uncultured bacterium. RNAcentral's name for it is "partial 16S ribosomal RNA". It matches the Rfam family "Bacterial small subunit ribosomal RNA", at positions 524 to 776 of the family's 1533-position model. The record is from RNAcentral.
UACAGAGGUCUCAAGCGUUGUUCGGAUUCAUUGGGCGUAAAGGGAGCGUAGGUGGCGGGGUUAGUCAGGUGUGAAAUCUCGGGGCUCAACCCCGAAACUGCACUUGAUACUGCCUUGCUAGAGUACUGGAGAGGAGAUUGGAAUUUACGGUGUAGCAGUGAAAUGCGUAGAUAUCGUAAGGAAGACCAGUGGCGAACGCGAAUCUCUGGACAGUUACUGACACUGAGGCUCGAAGGCCAGGGGAGCAAACGGG